UCGUUUGCCUCAAUGUUGGUGUCUUCUGGCACAGGUGCCAACUUUCUCAUUUCCCCAGCAGUGCUCAACCCCUGCUCCACCCCAGGUCCUGCCCCCACUGCACCUCUUCCCACCCCUGCCCUGCCUCUUCCAGCCCCGCUCUACCCCCUUCCACUCCCCCGAGUGCGCCCCACCCUCGCUCCCCUUCUCCCCCUCAGCGCCUCCUGCCCACCGCUGAACAGCUGAUCUGUGGCAGUUGGGAAGCACUGGGAGGGAGAGGGAAGAGCUGAUCCACAAGGCUACCGGUGAGUGCUGGGCACCCAAUGCAGCACCCACGCAGUCAGCACCUAUGUCUUCUGGGGAGGCACAUGUUCCUUUCCAUGCUUUCGUCUUUUUACGCACUGCUGCAUGAAAUCAGAGAUAACCCUAAAACCCAGUAGAGGGGGAAAUUACACAUGCUGUGUAAAUAAUUUCUGAACUGAACUGGAUGCCUCCUGCUACCCUGCCCACAGUUCUGGAGAUGAGCUCGGACACACAGCAGCCCAUGAGUGCAGUCAGCGCCACCAAAAGGAGGAGGCCGCAGCCCAGCCCCGUCACCAC
Molecule: long non-coding RNA, 579 nt
Organism: Mauremys reevesii (Reeves's turtle)
Lineage: Eukaryota; Metazoa; Chordata; Testudines; Geoemydidae
Exons: 3
Source: RefSeq, a predicted model, not a curated record